Molecule: ribosomal RNA, 259 nt
Filed under: uncultured bacterium
Lineage: Bacteria
Description: partial 16S ribosomal RNA
Rfam family: Bacterial small subunit ribosomal RNA
Source: RNAcentral
CGGACGGGUGAGUAACGCGUGGGGGAACCCUGCCUUGCACCGGGGGAUAACACUUAGAAAUACGGUGCUAAUACCGCAUAAGCGCACAGAGCCGCAUGGGCUCAGUGUGAAAAACUCCGGUGGUGCAAGAUGGACCCGCGUCUGAUUAGCUGGUUGGCGGGGUAACGGCCCACCAAGGCGACGAUCAGUAGCCGGCCUGAGAGGGUGAACGGCCACAUUGGGACUGAGACACGGCCCAAACUCCUACGGGAGGCAGCAG